AUUGAACGCUGGCGGCAGGCCUAACACAUGCAAGUCGAGCGGAUGAAGGGAGCUUGCUCCUGGAUUCAGCGGCGGACGGGUGAGUAAUGCCUAGGAAUCUGCCUGGUAGUGGGGGAUAACGUCCGGAAACGGGCGCUAAUACCGCAUACGUCCUGAGGGAGAAAGUGGGGGAUCUUCGGACCUCACGCUAUCAGAUGAGCCUAGGUCGGAUUAGCUAGUUGGUGGGGUAAAGGCCUACCAAGGCGACAAUCCGUAACUGGUCUGAGAGGAUGAUCAGUCACACUCGAACUGAGACACGGUCCAGACUCCUACGGGAGGCAGCAGUGGGGAAUAUUGGACAAUGGGCGAAAGCCUGAUCCAGCCAUGCCGCGUGUGUGAAGAAGGUCUUCGGAUUGUAAAGCACUUUAAGUUGGGAGGAAGGGCAGUAAGUUAAUACCUUGCUGUUUUGACGUUACCAACAGAAUAAGCACCGGCUAACUUCGUG
RNAcentral lists this ribosomal RNA (484 nucleotides) under uncultured bacterium. Its description in RNAcentral is "partial 16S ribosomal RNA". It matches the Rfam family "Bacterial small subunit ribosomal RNA", at positions 30 to 507 of the family's 1533-position model. The record is from RNAcentral.